Molecule: long non-coding RNA, 100 nt
Organism: Alosa sapidissima (American shad)
Lineage: Eukaryota; Metazoa; Chordata; Actinopteri; Clupeiformes; Clupeidae
Exons: 4
Source: RefSeq, a predicted model, not a curated record
UUCCCCAAAAGUAUCCAAUAGGCCAGUGGUCGGCAAAUAGUGGCCCGCGGGCCAAUUUUGGCCCGCCAUCUAUUCUAUCUGGCCCGCGAGAUGACGUUAA